CCUACGGGAGGCAGCAGGAGGGAAUCUUCGGCAAUGGGGGGAACCCUGACCGAGCAACGCCGCGUGAACGAAGAAGUUAUUAGUAAUGUAAAGUUCUUUUAACAGGGAAGAAAGAGAAAUUUGACGGUACCUGAAGAAUAAGAAUCGGCUAACUCCGUGCCAGCAGCCGCGGUAAUACGGGGGAUGCGAGCGUUAUCCGGUGUGUUUGGGUUAAAAGGGGGGUUAGGCGGAUUUUUAAGCCAGCGGUAAAAUGUCCGUGCUCAACCCGGGCCGGCCGUUGACACUGGGGAUCUUGAGUGGGCGAGAAGUAUGCGGAAGGCGUGGUGGAGCGGUGAAAUGCAUAGAUAUCACGCAGAACUCCGAUUGCGAAGGCAGCAUACCGGCGCCCGACUGACGCUGAGGCACGAAAGCGUGGGGAUCGAACAGGAUUAGAUACCCGUGUAGUC
RNAcentral lists this ribosomal RNA (446 nucleotides) under uncultured bacterium. RNAcentral's name for it is "partial 16S ribosomal RNA". It matches the Rfam family "Bacterial small subunit ribosomal RNA", at positions 338 to 795 of the family's 1533-position model. The record is from RNAcentral.